AUUGAACGCUGGCGGCAUGCCUUACACAUGCAAGUCGAACGGCAGCACGGGUGCUUGCACCUGGUGGCGAGUGGCGAACGGGUGAGUAAUACAUCGGAACAUGUCCUGUAGUGGGGGAUAGCCCGGCGAAAGCCGGAUUAAUACCGCAUACGAUCUACGGAUGAAAGCGGGGGCCCUUCGGGCCUCGCGCUAUAGGGUUGGCCGAUAGCUGAUUAGCUAGUUGGUGGGGUAAAGGCCUACCAAGGCGACGAUCAGUAGCUGGUCUGAGAGGACGACCAGCCACACUGGAACUGAGACACGGCCCAGACUCCUACGGGAGGCAGCAGUGGGGAAUUUUGGACAAUGGGCGAAAGCCUGAUCCAGCAAUGCCGCGUGUGUGAAGAAGGCCUUCGGGUUGUAAAGCACUUUUGUCCGGAAAGAAAUCCUUGGCUCUAAUACAGUCGGGGGAUGACGGUACCGGAAGAAUAAGCACCGGCUAACUACGUG
RNAcentral lists this ribosomal RNA (486 nucleotides) under uncultured bacterium. RNAcentral describes it as "partial 16S ribosomal RNA". It matches the Rfam family "Bacterial small subunit ribosomal RNA", at positions 30 to 507 of the family's 1533-position model. The record is from RNAcentral.